GCAAGUCGAACGAGGCGCCCUUGAGCACUGAAUGAAGUUGCGAGCUUGCUACAAAAUGGAAUGACGUAGGAUAAGGAAUCUGCGCCUAGUGGCGAACGGGUGAGUAACACGUGGGUUAUCUGCCUCAAGCUGGGGAUAACAGUUAGAAAUGACUGCUAAUACCGAAUGUGCUAGUAAUAGUAAAGGUGCUCUCAAGCAUCACUUGAAGAUGAGCCUGCGGCGUAUUAGCUAGUUGGUGGGGUAAAUGCCUACCAAGGCGACGAUGCGUAGCCGGACUGAGAAGUUGAUCGGCCACACUGGGACUGAGACACGGCCCAGACUCCUACGGGAGACAGCAGUUAGGAAUAUUCGGCAAUGGGCGAAAGCCUGACCGAGCAAUGCCGCGUUGUGAGAUGAAGGUCCUUUGGAUUGUAAAUCACUUUUAUUUGGGAAGAACAGUAAAUAGAGGAAAUGUUAUUUAUUUGACGGUACCAUUUGAAUAAGCCCCGGCUAACUACGUGCCAGCCGCCGC
Molecule: ribosomal RNA, 511 nt
Filed under: uncultured bacterium
Lineage: Bacteria
Description: bacterial SSU rRNA
Rfam family: Bacterial small subunit ribosomal RNA
Source: RNAcentral